RNAcentral lists this ribosomal RNA (361 nucleotides) under Solobacterium sp. RNAcentral describes it as "bacterial SSU rRNA". It matches the Rfam family "Bacterial small subunit ribosomal RNA", at positions 1 to 357 of the family's 1533-position model. Lineage: Bacteria; Bacillati; Bacillota; Erysipelotrichia; Erysipelotrichales; Erysipelotrichaceae. The record is from RNAcentral.
CAAAUGAAGAGUUUGAUCCUGGCUCAGGAUGAACGCUGGCGGCGUGCCUAAUACAUGCAAGUCGAACGCUGGAGAUCUAGCUUGCUAGAUCGAAGGAGUGGCGAACGGGUGAGUAAUACAUAAGCAACCUACCCACGAAGACUGGGAUAAUCUCUGGAAACGGGGACUAAUACCGGAUAGGUAAUCGGAAGGCAUCUUCUGAUUAUUAAAGGUUAAAAACACUGGUGGAUGGGCUUAUGGCGCAUUAGUUAGUUGGUGAGGUAACGGCCCACCAAGACGAUGAUGCGUAGCCGGCCUGAGAGGGUGAACGGCCACAUUGGGACUGAGACACGGCCCAGACUCCUACGGGAGGCAGCAGUAG